Molecule: ribosomal RNA, 439 nt
Filed under: uncultured bacterium
Lineage: Bacteria
Description: partial 16S ribosomal RNA
Rfam family: Bacterial small subunit ribosomal RNA
Source: RNAcentral
CUACGGGACGCAGCAGUGAGGAAUAUUGCACAAUGGGGGGAACCCUGAUGCAGCAACGCCGCGUGGAGGAUGACGCAUUUCGGUGUGUAAACUCCUUUUAUAUGUCAAGAAAAUGACGGUAGCAUAUGAAUAAGCACCGGCUAACUCCGUGCCAGCAGCCGCGGUAAUACGGAGGGUGCAAGCGUUACUCGGAAUCACUGGGCGUAAAGGACGCGUAGGCGGGUUGGAAAGUCAGGUGUGAAAUCCUACAGCUUAGCUGUAGAACUGCACUUGAAACUUCUAAUCUAGAGGAUGGGAGGGGGAGAUGGAAUUAGUGGUGUAGGGGUAAAAUCCGUAGAUAUCACUAGGAAUACCUAAAGCGAAGGCGAUCUCCUGGAACAUUACUGACGCUAAGGCGUGAAAGCGUGGGGAGCAAACAGGAUUAGAUACCCUCGUAGUC